RNAcentral lists this ribosomal RNA (402 nucleotides) under uncultured bacterium. Its description in RNAcentral is "partial 16S ribosomal RNA". It matches the Rfam family "Bacterial small subunit ribosomal RNA", at positions 338 to 737 of the family's 1533-position model. The record is from RNAcentral.
CCUACGGGUGGCAGCAGUGAGGAAUAUUGGUCAAUGGACGCAAGUCUGAACCAGCAAUGCCGCGUGCAGGAAGAAGGCUCUAUGAGUUGUAAACUGCUUUUGUACGAGGGUAAACGGAGAUACGCGUAUCAGUCUGAAAGUAUCGUACGAAUAAGGAUCGGCUAACUCCGUGCCAGCAGCCGCGGUAAUACGGAGGAUUCAAGCGUUAUCCGGAUUUAUUGGGUUUAAAGGGAGCGUAGGCGGUCGGAUAAGUUAGAGGUGAAAUCCCGAGGCUCAACUUCGGAAUGGGCUCGGAUACUGUACGGCGGGAGAGUAGUUGCGGUAGGCGGAAUGUAUGAUGUAGCGUGGAAAGGCUAAGUGAUCAGACAGAACGCCGAUUGCGAAGGCAGCAUACCAAGCUAC